This 407-nucleotide ribosomal RNA is filed under the name uncultured bacterium. Its description in RNAcentral is "partial 16S ribosomal RNA". It matches the Rfam family "Bacterial small subunit ribosomal RNA", at positions 28 to 526 of the family's 1533-position model. The record is from RNAcentral.
GACGAACGCUGGCGGCGUGCCUAAUACAUGCAAGUAGGACGCAGGUGCGAAGGGGAGAGCAACGCGUAGGAAACUGCCUAAUAGAGGGGGAUAAGCAUUGGAAACGAUAGCUAAUACCGCAUACUAGUAGAUGGAUCUGCGUUGUAUUAGCUAGGAGGUAGGGUAAUGGCCUACCUUGGCGACGAUACGUAGCCGGCCUGAAGGGGAGAACGGCCACCCUGGGACUUAGACACGGCCCAAACUCCUUCAGGGGGCAGCAGUAGGGGAUCGUCGGCAAUUGGGAGAACCCUGACCAAGCAACUCCGCGUGAGUGAAGGAAGUUUUCGGAUCGUAAAGCUCUGUUGUUCAGGAAGCGGUACUUACCCAGGAGGGAACGGCUAACUACGUGCCAGCAGCCGCGGUAAUUC